This 333-nucleotide ribosomal RNA is filed under the name uncultured eukaryote. RNAcentral describes it as "partial 18S ribosomal RNA". It matches the Rfam family "Eukaryotic small subunit ribosomal RNA", at positions 1470 to 1796 of the family's 1831-position model. The record is from RNAcentral.
CCCUUAGAUGUUCUGGGCUGCACGCGCGCUACACUGAUGCGCUCAACGAGUUUACGACCUUGCCCGGAAGGGUUGGGUAAUCUUUUUAAAACGCAUCGUGAUGGGGAUAGAUUAUUGCAAUUAUUAAUCUUUAACGAGGAAUUCCUAGUAAGCGCGAGUCAUCAGCUCGUGCUGAUUACGUCCCUGCCCUUUGUACACACCGCCCGUCGCUACUACCGAUUGAACGGUUUAGUGAGGGCCUCGGAUUGGUCUCGGCCCGCUCUUCACCGGGCGGCGCCGUUGGUCGAGAAGACGCUCGAACUUGAUCGUUUAGAGGAAGUAAAAGUCGUAACA